RNAcentral lists this ribosomal RNA (494 nucleotides) under uncultured bacterium. RNAcentral describes it as "partial 16S ribosomal RNA". It matches the Rfam family "Bacterial small subunit ribosomal RNA", at positions 28 to 507 of the family's 1533-position model. The record is from RNAcentral.
GACGAACGCUGGCGGCGUGCUUAACACAUGCAAGUCGAACGGAAAGGCCUGCUUUCCCUUUUGGAUUGCGGGUACUCGAGUGGCGAACGGGUGAGUAACACGUGAGUGAUCUGCCCCCAACUUGGGUAUAAGCCUGGGAAACUGGGUCUAAUUCCCGAUAGGACUGCAGGGUGGUGCCUGUGGUGGAAAACGAUUUUCUAGUGGUUGGGGAUGAGCUCGCGGCCUAUCAGCUUGUUGGUGGGGUAAUGGCCUACCAAGGCGGCGACGGGUAGCCGGCCUGAGAGGGUGGACGGCCACAUUGGGACUGGGAUACGGCCCAGACUCCUACGGGAGGCAGCAGUGGGGAAUAGUGCAGAAUGGGCGGAAGCCUGAUGCAGCGACGCCGCGUGGGGGAUGACGGCCUUCGGGUUGUAAACUCCUUUCGACCGCGAGGAAGCCACCUGGUUGGAAGGGUGGUGACGGUAGUGGUAGAAGAAGCACCGGCUAACUACGUG